GUGAUCCUUUCAGCAGCAUAUAUGCUUACAUUGGAACAAUGCAGAGAAGAUUAGCAUGGCCUGUAUGCAAGGAUGACAUGGAAAUUUGUGGGGCGUUCCAUAUUUUU
This is a small nuclear RNA of Aotus nancymaae (Ma's night monkey), 107 nucleotides long. The record is from Ensembl. NCBI's taxonomy places the organism in Eukaryota, Metazoa, Chordata, Mammalia, Primates, Aotidae.